Molecule: ribosomal RNA, 520 nt
Filed under: uncultured Glomus
Lineage: Eukaryota; Fungi; Glomeromycota; Glomeromycetes; Glomerales; Glomeraceae
Description: SSU rRNA
Rfam family: Eukaryotic small subunit ribosomal RNA
Source: RNAcentral
CGCAGCCGCGGUAAUUCCAGCUCCAAUAGCGUAUAUUAAAGUUGUUGCAGUUAAAAAGCUCGUAGUUGAAUUUCGGGGUUAGUAGGCUGGUCAUGCCACCGGUAUGUACUGGUCUUUCUGAUUCCUCCUUCCUGAUGAACUGUAAUGCCAUUAAUUUGGUGUUGCAGGGAAUCUGGACUGUUACUUUGAAAAAAUUAGAGUGUUUAAAGCAGGCUAACGCUUGAAUACAUUAGCAUGGAAUAAUGAAAUAGGACGCUCGAUCCUAUUUUGUUGGUUUCUAGGAUUGACGUAAUGAUUAAUAGGGAUAGUUGGGGGCAUUAGUAUUCAAUUGUCAGAGGUGAAAUUCUUGGAUUUAUUGAAGACUAACUACUGCGAAAGCAUUUGCCUAAGGAUGUUUUCAUUAAUCAAGAACGAAAGUUAGGGGAUCGAAGACGAUCAGAUACCGUCGUAGUACUUAACCAUAAACUAUGCCGACUAGGGAUCGGAUGAUGUUAAUUUUUAAUGUACUCAUUCGGCGUCC